This 69-nucleotide transfer RNA is filed under the name Ictidomys tridecemlineatus (thirteen-lined ground squirrel). RNAcentral describes it as "Spermophilus tridecemlineatus (thirteen-lined ground squirrel) tRNA". It matches the Rfam family "tRNA". From Rfam's summary of the family: Transfer RNA (tRNA) molecules are approximately 80 nucleotides in length. Their secondary structure includes four short double-helical elements and three loops (D, anti-codon, and T loops). Lineage: Eukaryota; Metazoa; Chordata; Mammalia; Rodentia; Sciuridae. The record is from Rfam by way of RNAcentral.
GGAGUUGUAGCUCAGUGGUAGAGCACUUGCCUUGCAUGCAUGAGGCCUUGGGUUCCAUCCUCAGCACUA